Molecule: ribosomal RNA, 593 nt
Filed under: Echelus uropterus (finned snake eel)
Lineage: Eukaryota; Metazoa; Chordata; Actinopteri; Anguilliformes; Ophichthidae
Description: partial 12S ribosomal RNA
Rfam family: Bacterial small subunit ribosomal RNA
Source: RNAcentral
UUAAUAUUAAGCUAUAAGCGAAAGCUUGACUUAAUCAAGGCCAACUAAGAGCCGGUAAACCUCGUGCCAGCCACCGCGGUUAUACGAGGGGCUCAAAUUGAUAAUCCACGGCGUAAAGCGUGAUUAGAGAACAAAAACACUAAAGCCGAACAUCCCCUCAACUGUUAUACGUUUAAGGGGACACGAAGCCCCACAACGAAAGUAGCUUUACUUUAAAAUCUUGAACUCACGAAAAUUAAGAAACAAACUGGGAUUAGAUACCCCACUAUGCUUAAUCGUAAACAACGAUGGAACCACACAAAUACCGCCCGCCAGGGAACUACGAACAUUAGUUUGAAACCCAAAGGACUUGGCGGUGCCUCAGACCCACCUAGAGGAGCCUGUCCUAUAACCGAUAAUCCCCGUUUAACCUCACCACUCCUUGCCAACCCAGUUUAUAUACCACCGUCGCCAGCUUACCCCAUGAGGGUAUAACAGUAAGCUAAAUGGGCCCCUACCCAAAACGUCAGGUCGAGGUGUAGCGAACGCAGUGGGAAGAGAUGGGCUACAUUUUCUGAAACAGAACACCACGAAAGGUGUCAUGAAAUAAAACA